GACGUAGGGUCCAAGCGUUGUCCGGAUUUACUGGGCGUAAAGCGCGCGUAGGCGGUCUGUUAAGUGCACAAGUGAAAGCUCCGGGCUCAACUCGGGAACUGCGUCCGAUACUGGCUGGCUUGAAUCCGGGAGAGGGAUGCGGAAUUCCAGGUGUAGCGGUGAAAUGCGUUGAUAUCAGAAGGAACGCCGGUGGCGAAAGCGACGUGCUGGACCUCUUCUGACGCUGAGGCGCGAAAGCUAGGGGAGCAAACGGG
This 254-nucleotide ribosomal RNA is filed under the name uncultured bacterium. RNAcentral's name for it is "partial 16S ribosomal RNA". It matches the Rfam family "Bacterial small subunit ribosomal RNA", at positions 524 to 776 of the family's 1533-position model. The record is from RNAcentral.